This 460-nucleotide ribosomal RNA is filed under the name uncultured bacterium. RNAcentral describes it as "partial 16S ribosomal RNA". It matches the Rfam family "Bacterial small subunit ribosomal RNA", at positions 338 to 795 of the family's 1533-position model. The record is from RNAcentral.
CCUACGGGUGGCAGCAGUGAGGAAUAUUGGUCAAUGGCCGGAAGGCUGAACCAGCCAUGCCGCGUGAAGGUCAGUGCCCUAUGGGCGUUAAACUUCUUUUGUGCGGGAGCAAUAAUGGUCACGUGUGGCCAGACGAGAGUACCGUACGAAUAAGCAUCGGCUAACUCAGUGCCAGCAGCCGCGGUAAUACGGGGGAUGCAAGCGUUAUCCGGAUUUAUUGGGUUUAAAGGGUGAGUAGGCGGUGAGGUACGUCAGCGGGGAAAUGCCCCCGCUCAACGGGGUGAAGUGCCAUUGAUACUGCCUUGCUGGAAUGCGGAUGCGGUGGGAGGAAUGUGUGGUGUAGCGGUGAAAUGCAUAGAUAUCACACAGAACACCGAUUGCGAAGGCAUCUCACGAAUCCGCGAUUGACGCUGAUGCACGAAAGCGUGGGUAUCAAACAGGAUUAGAUACCCGAGUAGUC